GGGAAUGUGGCUUAGUGGUAGAGUGUUUGCUUAACAUGCAUGAAGCCCUGGGUUCAAUUCCUCAGUACCA
This 70-nucleotide transfer RNA is filed under the name Dipodomys ordii (Ord's kangaroo rat). It matches the Rfam family "tRNA". Rfam says of the family: Transfer RNA (tRNA) molecules are approximately 80 nucleotides in length. Their secondary structure includes four short double-helical elements and three loops (D, anti-codon, and T loops). Further hydrogen bonds mediate the characteristic L-shaped molecular structure. tRNAs have two regions of fundamental functional importance: the anti-codon, which is responsible for specific mRNA codon recognition, and the 3' end, to which the tRNAs corresponding amino acid is attached (by aminoacyl-tRNA synthetases). tRNAs cope with the degeneracy of the genetic code in two manners: having more than one tRNA (with a specific anti-codon) for a particular amino acid; and 'wobble' base-pairing, i.e. permitting non-standard base-pairing at the 3rd anti-codon position. The record is from Rfam by way of RNAcentral. Lineage: Eukaryota; Metazoa; Chordata; Mammalia; Rodentia; Heteromyidae.